GAAGAACCAGUCAAUUUCUUACCUGAACGCAAGGUGAUAGCCUUGCAAUGCUCCCUCAGGUUUGACUCUGUAGUGCUAGGGAGCGAUCCUGAAGGUCUCUCUGAAAGCAUCUUAGAAAUUUGGCCAAUUUGAGUCUCCAAGUUCUGAAUCAAGGCCUGCUGAUUCCUAAGUGCACUAUCAGUCUGCUAGAGUCUCGUUUCCGUAGACGUCACAAACUUCAUCAUAAGCUCCUCUAAAUUUGACUUCUUUUCUUGUGGAGGAGGAGCUUGUGCAG
RNAcentral lists this long non-coding RNA (274 nucleotides) under Ricinus communis (castor bean). RNAcentral describes it as "long non-coding RNA (RCOM_LNC000602)". Lineage: Eukaryota; Viridiplantae; Streptophyta; Magnoliopsida; Malpighiales; Euphorbiaceae. The record is from RNAcentral.